Molecule: ribosomal RNA, 519 nt
Filed under: uncultured eukaryote
Lineage: Eukaryota
Description: SSU rRNA
Rfam family: Eukaryotic small subunit ribosomal RNA
Source: RNAcentral
AGGGCACCACCAGGAGUGGAGCCUGCGGCUUAAUUUGACUCAACACGGGGAAACUCACCCGGCCAGGACACAAUAAGGAUUGACAGAUUGAUAGCUCUUUCUUGAUUUUGUGGGUGGUGGUGCAUGGCCGUUCUUAGUUGGUGGAGCGAUUUGUCUGGUUAAUUCCGAUAACGAACGAGACUCUAGCCUAUUAAAUAGACGAUAUAUUAUUAGUUUAUCGAGCUUCUUAGAGGGACAGGCAGCUUCUAGCUGCACGAGAUUGAGCAAUAACAGGUCUGUGAUGCCCUUAGAUGUCCGGGGCUGCACGCGCGCUACAAUGAUAAUAGCAGCGUGCAUUAAAACCUUUUCUGGUAAGGAUUGGUAAACACGAAAUAUUGUCGUGCUUGGGAUAGGGGAUUGAAAUUAUUGCCCUUAAACGAGGAAUUCCCAGUAAGUGCGAGUCAUUAGCUUGCGUUGAUUACGUCCCUGCCCUUUGUACACACCGCCCGUCGCUACUACCGAUUGGAAGAUUUAGUGAAU